AUCUCUUCUCGGCCUGUGGCUAAGAUCAAGUGUAGUAUCUGUUCUUAUCAGUUUAACGUUAGGUAUAUCCUCUGUCUGAGGACAAUGUAUUAAAUGGAUUUUUUGGAGCCUGGAGCUGGAAUAGGAGCUUGCUCCGUCCACUCUGUGUAUCAACUUGCUAGUGCAGUACCUCCAGGAACAGUGCACCGCCC
Ochotona curzoniae (black-lipped pika) is the source of this 191-nucleotide small nuclear RNA. RefSeq annotates it as U2 spliceosomal RNA. NCBI's taxonomy places the organism in Eukaryota, Metazoa, Chordata, Mammalia, Lagomorpha, Ochotonidae. The transcript has a single exon. The record is from RefSeq and is a predicted model, not a curated record.